CCCGUCGGCCCCCGCGACGAUAGGCCGAAAACCCCGCCAGGCCCGGAAGGGAGCAACGGUAUCGGCCGAUUCGGGUGCCGGGGCAAACCGGC
Molecule: signal recognition particle RNA, 92 nt
Filed under: Coralloluteibacterium stylophorae
Lineage: Bacteria; Pseudomonadati; Pseudomonadota; Gammaproteobacteria; Lysobacterales; Lysobacteraceae
Description: signal recognition particle sRNA small type
Rfam family: Bacterial small signal recognition particle RNA
About the family: The signal recognition particle (SRP) is a universally conserved ribonucleoprotein involved in the co-translational targeting of proteins to membranes. Archaeal SRP consists of a 7S RNA and homologues of the eukaryotic SRP19 and SRP54 proteins. In most bacteria, the SRP consists of a 4.5S RNA and the Ffh protein (a homologue of the eukaryotic SRP54 protein).
Source: RNAcentral